Molecule: ribosomal RNA, 468 nt
Filed under: uncultured bacterium
Lineage: Bacteria
Description: partial 16S ribosomal RNA
Rfam family: Bacterial small subunit ribosomal RNA
Source: RNAcentral
GACGAACGCUGGCGGCGUGCUUAACACAUGCAAGUCGAACGGAAAGGCCCUGCUUUUGUGGGGUGCUCGAGUGGCGAACGGGUGAGUAACACGUGAGUAACCUGCCCUUGACUUUGGGAUAACUUCAGGAAACUGGGGCUAAUACCGGAUAGGAGCUCCUGCUGCAUGGUGGGGGUUGGAAAGUUUCGGCGGUUGGGGAUGGACUCGCGGCUUAUCAGCUUGUUGGUGGGGUAGUGGCUUACCAAGGCUUUGACGGGUAGCCGGCCUGAGAGGGUGACCGGGCACAUGGGGACUGAGAGACGGCCCAGACUCCUACGGGAGGCAGCAGUGGGGAAUAUUGCACAAUGGGCGGAAGCCUGAUGCAGCAACGCCGCGUGCGGGAUGACGGCCUUCGGGUUGUAAACCGCUUUCGCCUGUGACGAAGCGUGAGUGACGGUAAUGGGUAAAGAAGCACCGGCUAACUACGUG